CGUAGGGUGCAGGCGUUAAUCGGAAUUACUGGGCGUAAAGCGUGCGCAGGCGGCUCCUUAAGUCAGAUGUGAAAUCCCCGGGCUUAACCGUGGGAACUGCGUUUGAAACGUGGGGAGCUCGAGUGUGGAAGAGGGGGGUGGAAUUCCAGGUGUAGCAGUGAAAUGCGUAGAGAUCUGGAGGAACACCGAUGGCGAAGGCAGCCCCCUGGGCUAACACUGACGCUCAUGCACGAAAGCGUGGGGAGCAAACAGGAUUAGAUACCCUGGUAGUCCACGCCCUAAACGAUGUCAACUGGUUGUCGGGGAAGCAAUUCCUUGGUAACGAAGCUAACGCGUGAAGUUGACCGCCUGGGGAGUACGGCCGCAAGGUUA
Molecule: ribosomal RNA, 372 nt
Filed under: uncultured organism
Description: bacterial SSU rRNA
Rfam family: Bacterial small subunit ribosomal RNA
Source: RNAcentral